This 548-nucleotide ribosomal RNA is filed under the name uncultured bacterium. RNAcentral describes it as "bacterial SSU rRNA". It matches the Rfam family "Bacterial small subunit ribosomal RNA", at positions 355 to 896 of the family's 1533-position model. The record is from RNAcentral.
UAGGGAAUUCGGCAAUGGGGGGAACCCUGACCGAGCAACGCCGCGUGAGUGAAGAAGGUUUUCGGAUCGUAAAGCUCUGUUGUUAAGGAAGAACGAGUGUGAGAAUGGAAAGUUCAUACUGUGACGGUACUUAACCAGAAAGGGACGGCUAACUACGUGCCAGCAGCCGCGGUAAUACGUAGGUCCCGAGCGUUGUCCGGAUUUAUUGGGCGUAAAGCGAGCGCAGGCGGUUAGAUAAGUCUGAAGUUAAAGGCAGUGGCUCAACCAUUGUAGGCUUUGGAAACUGUUUAACUUGAGUGCAGAAGGGGAGAGUGGAAUUCCAUGUGUAGCGGUGAAAUGCGUAGAUAUAUGGAGGAACACCGGUGGCGAAAGCGGCUCUCUGGUCUGUAACUGACGCUGAGGCUCGAAAGCGUGGGGAGCGAACAGGAUUAGAUACCCUGGUAGUCCACGCCGUAAACGAUGAGUGCUAGGUGUUAGGUCCUUUCCGGGACUUAGUGCCGCAGCUAACGCAUUAAGCACUCCGCCUGGGGAGUACGACCGCAAGGUUG